RNAcentral lists this ribosomal RNA (250 nucleotides) under uncultured bacterium. Its description in RNAcentral is "partial 16S ribosomal RNA". It matches the Rfam family "Bacterial small subunit ribosomal RNA", at positions 524 to 773 of the family's 1533-position model. The record is from RNAcentral.
GACGAACCGAGCGAACGUUGUUCGGAAUCACUGGGCUUAAAGGGCGCGUAGGCGGGCUGCCAAGUCCGUGGUGAAAUCCCCCGGCUCAACCGGGGAAGGGCCUCGGAUACUGGCGGCCUCGAGGGGGGUAGGGGCGUGCGGAACUGUGGGUGGAGCGGUGAAAUGCGUUGAUAUCCACAGGAACUCCGGUGGCGAAGGCGGCACGCUGGACCCCAUCUGACGCUGAGGCGCGAAAGCCAGGGGAGCGAAC